This 1232-nucleotide unclassified non-coding RNA is filed under the name Mesorhizobium caraganae. RNAcentral's name for it is "partial contains 16S ribosomal RNA, 16S-23S ribosomal RNA intergenic spacer, and 23S ribosomal RNA". The stretch from base 518 to 591 matches the Rfam family "tRNA". Lineage: Bacteria; Pseudomonadati; Pseudomonadota; Alphaproteobacteria; Hyphomicrobiales; Phyllobacteriaceae. The record is from RNAcentral.
ACGCCAUACUCACUGGUCGAAUUGCACUUUCCGCACUCGAGUUCAUGGAGGUGGAUCGUGAUUCCGGAUCAGCAUGCGCGUGAAUACGUCGCUGUAACACGCGUACAACAUGGGAGUGUUUACCGAGCGCCUGUGCUACCGCAGAGGCAGCGACACGUAGGUCAGCGACUGGGGUGAGUCGUACAGUAGCCGUAGGGAACUGCGCUGGAUCACUCUUCUAGGAGACCUAAUGGAAACGCUCAUCUGAUGAGCCUCUGCCUUUCGGUCUCUUGGACAAGACGGCAAAGAGUCACUUUGACCGUCGCGCAUACCUUAAGCGGGUCUGCCGCCUUCGUUUCUCUUUCUUCAGCGAAUGACUUUGGAUCAGCGCUCGCGCGCCGUACCGCGGCCCCCUGUUGAUUAAGAUGGGCGGCCGCUGGCGCUCCGCGAGGGCGCGGCAUAAGCCGCGACGGCCGGUCGGCCUUGCGAGGCUUUGCCUCGAGGUCACCAGCUCGUUACUGGCAGAGCGCGGUCUUUAGGGCUUGUAGCUCAGUUGGUUAGAGCGCGCGCUUGAUAAGCGUGAGGUCGGAGGUUCAAGUCCUCCCAGGCCCACCAUCUCUAGUGCAACCCGAAGGGUUGUCGCUCGCAAUCCGCAAGGAUUGUCGGAUCUCCUCGAUAGAGUAUCAGGGAAACAAUCAGGGGCCGUAGCUCAGCUGGGAGAGCGCCUGCUUUGCAAGCAGGAUGUCGUCGGUUCGAUCCCGUCCGGCUCCACCACUCGCGCAAUUCCGAAGGGAUUGUCGCGGUUCGCGACGAUCCUGCGGAUCGCGCGGAGGUGUCGAGUAGAGAUGAGAAAAGUCAUUCGUAAAAAGGUUUGCGGCGAGCAACGAGCUCUCCGCCUGUUCUGUUUUGACAUCGUAAAGAGAAGAUUUGUUCGAACUUCAUGAGCCGAAAGGUUCGUGAUUUGUCGCAGGAGACGCUCAAUCUCCUGCAUAUGAUGGGUUUGCCUAACCGCGCCCUCGAACCGAUCUCGAGAAGCUGGUCUUUUUGUGCCAAUGACAUCGAAUUGGAUCCCGCACAGGAUCUGGUUCAGGCGACGAUCUCUUCGAGAUCGCGCGGGUGGGCAUUGGCAAUGAGAACGAUCAAGUGUCUUAAGGGCAAUUGGUGGAUGCCUUGGCAUGCACAGGCGAUGAAGGACGUGAUACGCUGCGAUAAGCUACGGGAGGCGAAACCGCGCCUCCUAAAUCCCUUUUGGC